UACGGGGGGGGCAAGCGUUGUUCGGAAUUACUGGGCGUAAAGGGCUCGUAGGCGGCCACCUAAGUCAGACGUGAAAUCCCCAGGCUCAACCUGGGAACUGCGUCUGAUACUGGAUGGCUUGAAUCCGGGAGAGGGAUGCAGAAUUCCAGGUGUAGCGGUGAAAUGCGUAGAUAUCUGGAGGAAUACCGGUGGCGAAGGCGGCAUCCUGGACCGGCAUUGACGCUGAGGAGCGAAAGCCAGGGGAGCAAACGGG
This 253-nucleotide ribosomal RNA is filed under the name uncultured bacterium. RNAcentral's name for it is "partial 16S ribosomal RNA". It matches the Rfam family "Bacterial small subunit ribosomal RNA", at positions 524 to 776 of the family's 1533-position model. The record is from RNAcentral.